AAGUCGUAACAAGGUUUCCGUAGGUGAACCUGCGGAAGGAUCAUUAGUGAUUAUGAAAGGUUGUCUUCUGUGCUGGCUGCGGCAAGUGCACGUUGAUGACUUUCAUCCAACACCCUUGUGAACCUUUGGCCUCUUGCUGGCUUCGGCUGGCUGGGGAUUUACACAAACUCGCAUGUAUUGAGGACCUUUCAUGUGCGCAAGCACUAAUAUACAACUUUCAACAACGGAUCUCUUGGCUCUUGCAUCGAUGAAGAACGCAGCGAAAUGCGAUAAGUAAUGUGAAUUGCAGAAUUCAGUGAAUCAUCGAAUCUUUGAACGCACCUUGCACCCUUUGGCAUUCCGAAGGGUAUGCUCGUUUGAGUGUCAUUGUACUCUCACACUCCCAAUUACUUUGGAUUGGGAGCGGUGGACCUGGGUGUUGCUGCUUGACUGUGGCUCACCUGAAAUAUGUUAGUGCAUCCCUUGAUUGGACAUAGUACGGCGUGAUAAGUGUCUUCGCCGGCUCCUCGCAAAGAGGGUGGCCGAUCGGGAGCUCUGUUGCUUCAAACUGUCUUCGGACAAUCUUCUGGCGACUUGACCUCAAAUCGAGUAGGACUACCCGCUGAACUUAA
Molecule: unclassified non-coding RNA, 611 nt
Filed under: fungal sp. FF-01M
Lineage: Eukaryota; Fungi
Description: partial contains 18S rRNA, ITS1, 5.8S rRNA, ITS2 and 28S RNA
Rfam family: 5.8S ribosomal RNA (bases 213-366)
Source: RNAcentral